This 68-nucleotide transfer RNA is filed under the name marine eukaryotic metagenome. It matches the Rfam family "tRNA". From Rfam's summary of the family: Transfer RNA (tRNA) molecules are approximately 80 nucleotides in length. Their secondary structure includes four short double-helical elements and three loops (D, anti-codon, and T loops). Further hydrogen bonds mediate the characteristic L-shaped molecular structure. tRNAs have two regions of fundamental functional importance: the anti-codon, which is responsible for specific mRNA codon recognition, and the 3' end, to which the tRNAs corresponding amino acid is attached (by aminoacyl-tRNA synthetases). tRNAs cope with the degeneracy of the genetic code in two manners: having more than one tRNA (with a specific anti-codon) for a particular amino acid; and 'wobble' base-pairing, i.e. permitting non-standard base-pairing at the 3rd anti-codon position. The record is from RNAcentral.
UCGGUAGCUCAGUUGGUAGAGCAGAGGACUGAAAAUCCUUGUGUCGCUGGUUCGAUUCCGGCCCGAGC